RNAcentral lists this ribosomal RNA (460 nucleotides) under uncultured bacterium. RNAcentral's name for it is "bacterial SSU rRNA". It matches the Rfam family "Bacterial small subunit ribosomal RNA", at positions 338 to 795 of the family's 1533-position model. The record is from RNAcentral.
CCUACGGGGGGCAGCAGUGAGGAAUAUUGGUCAAUGGACGCAAGUCUGAACCAGCCAUGCCGCGUGCAGGAUGACGGUCCUAUGGAUUGUAAACUGCUUUUGUACAGGAAGAAACACUCCCUCGUGAGGGAGCUUGACGGUACUGUAAGAAUAAGGAUCGGCUAACUCCGUGCCAGCAGCCGCGGUAAUACGGAGGAUCCAAGCGUUAUCCGGAAUCAUUGGGUUUAAAGGGUCCGUAGGCGGUUUAGUAAGUCAGUGGUGAAAUCCCAUCGCUCAACGGUGGAACGGCCAUUGAUACUGCUAGACUUGAAUUAUUAGGAAGUAACUAGAAUAUGUAGUGUAGCGGUGAAAUGCUUAGAGAUUACAUGGAAUACCAAUUGCGAAGGCAGGUUACUACUAAUAUAUUGACGCUGAUGGACGAAAGCGUGGGUAGCGAACAGGAUUAGAUACCCCAGUAGUC